UUUGAUGGCGACCGGCGCACGGGUGAGUAACACGUAUCCAACCUGCCGAUGACUCGGGGGAUAUCCUUUCGAAAGAAAGAUUAAUACCCGAUGGCAUAGUUCUUCCGCAUGGUGGAACUAUUAAAGAAUUUCGGUCAUCGAUGGGGAUGCGUUCCAUUAGGUUGUUGGCGGGGUAACGGCCCACCAAGCCUUCGAUGGAUAGGGGUUCUGAGAGGAAGGUCCCCCACAUUGGAACUGAGACACGGUCCAAACUCCUACGGGAGGCAGCAUG
Molecule: ribosomal RNA, 271 nt
Filed under: uncultured bacterium
Lineage: Bacteria
Description: partial 16S ribosomal RNA
Rfam family: Bacterial small subunit ribosomal RNA
Source: RNAcentral